Molecule: ribosomal RNA, 292 nt
Filed under: uncultured bacterium
Lineage: Bacteria
Description: partial 16S ribosomal RNA
Rfam family: Bacterial small subunit ribosomal RNA
Source: RNAcentral
GUGUCAGCAGCCGCGGUAAGACAGAGGUGGCAAGCGUUGUUCGGAGUUACUGGGCGUAAAGCGCACGUAGGCGGUUGGAUAAGUCCUGUGUGAAAUCCCCCCGCUCAACGGGGGAACGGCAUGGGAUACUGUCCGGCUAGAGGGUUGGAGAGGAGAGUGGAAUUCCCGGUGUAGCGGUGAAAUGCGUAGAGAUCGGGAGGAACACCUGUGGCGAAGGCGGCUCUCUGGACAACCCCUGACGCUCAAGUACGAAAGCGUGGGGAGCAAACAGGAUUAGAAACCCUUGUAGUCC